Molecule: long non-coding RNA, 1135 nt
Organism: Ficedula albicollis (Collared flycatcher)
Lineage: Eukaryota; Metazoa; Chordata; Aves; Passeriformes; Muscicapidae
Source: Ensembl
AUUUAAUAUAAAUAAUGUACAAACUAUACAAAUGUAUAAUUUGCAUUAAUAAUAUAUAAAUAAAUCACACCAGGGUCACCAAAUUAGUGGGAAUUUUUUUUCUUUUGUCCCGACUGUGCCUUUUCCUCCCUGGAUUUGGGACCUGAGCCAGUUGGGCAUCUCCAGAUCCAGGAUUUAUUGCAGUCCUGAGCACCACAAAGGGGAAUUUUUUAUCCCAAUAUGUCCAUGGGAAGCACCAGGAGAGGUUUUAGGCUGGAUAUUGGAAGAAUUCCUCCAUGGAAAGGGCAGGGCUGGAAUCCCCAUUCCCGGAGGGAUUUAAAAUCUUGUGGAUGUGGCACCUGGGGACAGGUCAGAGGUGGCCUUGGGAUUGUUCUGCUUCCCCUUCCCCAUGGAUAUUGGAUACUGGAUAUUGGCCCUGGACAGCCGGACGCUCCCUCGGUGACUGUGACAGUGACAGUGACGGUGUCGGGGCUGUGCGGGCACGGCCUGGCCCUGCUCCUGUCCCCACGCAGCUGCAGCCAGGAGCUCUGUGCUCGGCCAGGAGCCGAUCCCGAGGGGUUGCCCAUGGAAUAGGCUCUUUUCCCGGUGCCUGGGCACAGCGGGAGGCUGGAGUUUGUGCCCUGAUCACGCCCUGCCCCGGAGCCCCCGGCCUCUGCCAUGAAUGAUGCGUCCACCAUGGAUUAUGAACUGCUCUCCCCGUCCCUGGUGGAGCACCCCGCCGGCGCCGCGGGCAUGGACGCCGAGCAGAAAACCGUGUUUGCCUUCGUCAUCUUCCUGCUGGUGUUCCUGGUGAUGCUCAUGGUGCGCUGCUUCCGCAUCCUGCUGGACCCCUACAGCCGCAUGCCCGCCUCCUCCUGGACGGACCACAAGGAGGGCUUGGAGCGGGGCCAGUUCGACUACGCGCUGGUGUGAGGGCGGGGGGCUCGGGGCAGCCCGGGGUGGGGCCGGGACAGCCCCAGGGUGGGCUCAGGGCACCCCAGGGUGGGCUUGGAGCAGCCCCAGGGGGGCUUGGAGCACUCCAGAGUGGCUUGGGGCAGCCCAAGAGUGCCCCCCCCCCCCCCCCCCCCCCCCCCCCCCCCCCCCCCCCCCCCCCCCCCCCCCCCCCCCCCCCCCCCCCCCCCCCCCCCCCCCCCCC